AUAUCUGGCCUCAUCUUACUGAAUCAGAAUCUGUGCCAUUUUCUUCAACUAUUAUUUUUAAAGAGCUCCCCUGGUGAUUCUCAUGCAGAGACUAGAUCCAAUGCAUGUUAUCUCAGAGAGCAGAGAAUUUUAUUUUUCAUGAAAACCUCCAGAGAAAGAUAAUCUGCAGCCCACAUUCCCAUGUUCAACUCUCCUUCCUGUCGAGAGAUAACUUCCCUGUGGAUCCAUUAAAUCCUCGUCCUGUACUUAAGCUUAUUUGUCCCUGUUUCUCCUUAGCGCAGAGAUAAUACCUAGUACUACCCGCUUGGAGUUUGGUUUGCAAAGGAUUUUCUCAUUUGAGAUUUAAAAAAAAAAACUGAGUUCAUCCCUCAAAGAUCACUUUUUAAAAUUAACUGCUCACCUCUUCACUUUCCCUUUCCAGGAUAAAUGAUCACAUCCCUCUCCUGCGCACACCCCACGCUUCUCCCGCAUACCACUCAGCACAGUGUCUGGAACAUAAAUCCUCAAUGGAUAUUAACUUAUCUCACUGGAAUUUGGAUACAGAAGUACCCAUUCCUGAAAAUAAAAACCUCCCACCUGGAAGGGAUGGUGCCACAGGUGAACCAUGGAAAUUCCAGUAGAGCAACUCAUGCUGCUUUAUAG
RNAcentral lists this long non-coding RNA (642 nucleotides) under Delphinapterus leucas (beluga whale). RNAcentral's name for it is "lncRNA (ENSDLEG00000001449.1)". The record is from RNAcentral. Lineage: Eukaryota; Metazoa; Chordata; Mammalia; Artiodactyla; Monodontidae.